Molecule: ribosomal RNA, 472 nt
Filed under: Fusarium oxysporum
Lineage: Eukaryota; Fungi; Ascomycota; Sordariomycetes; Hypocreales; Nectriaceae
Description: eukaryotic LSU rRNA
Rfam family: 5.8S ribosomal RNA (bases 118-271)
Source: RNAcentral
AUACCACUUGUUGCCUCGGCGGAUCAGCCCGCUCCCGGUAAAACGGGACGGCCCGCCAGAGGACCCCUAAACUCUGUUUCUAUAUGUAACUUCUGAGUAAAACCAUAAAUAAAUCAAAACUUUCAACAACGGAUCUCUUGGUUCUGGCAUCGAUGAAGAACGCAGCAAAAUGCGAUAAGUAAUGUGAAUUGCAGAAUUCAGUGAAUCAUCGAAUCUUUGAACGCACAUUGCGCCCGCCAGUAUUCUGGCGGGCAUGCCUGUUCGAGCGUCAUUUCAACCCUCAAGCACAGCUUGGUGUUGGGACUCGCGUUAAUUCGCGUUCCCCAAAUUGAUUGGCGGUCACGUCGAGCUUCCAUAGCGUAGUAGUAAAACCCUCGUUACUGGUAAUCGUCGCGGCCACGCCGUUAAACCCCAACUUCUGAAUGUUGACCUCGGAUCAGGUAGGAAUACCCGCUGAACUUAAGCAUAUCAA